RNAcentral lists this ribosomal RNA (253 nucleotides) under uncultured bacterium. RNAcentral's name for it is "partial 16S ribosomal RNA". It matches the Rfam family "Bacterial small subunit ribosomal RNA", at positions 524 to 776 of the family's 1533-position model. The record is from RNAcentral.
UACGUAGGGGGCGAGCGUUGUCCGGAAUCAUUGGGCGUAAAGCGCGUGUAGGCGGCCCGGUAAGUCCGCUGUGAAAGUCCAGGGCUCAACCCUGGGAUGCCGGUGGAUACUGUCGGGCUCGAGUCCGGAAGAGGCGAGUGGAAUUCCUGGUGUAGCGGUGAAAUGCGCAGAUAUCAGGAGGAACACCAAUGGCGAAGGCAGCUCGCUGGGACGGUACUGACGCUGAGGCGCGAAAGCGUGGGGAGCGAACAGG